GAUGAAGAACGUAGCGAAAUGCGAUACGUAAUGUGAAUUGCAAAUUCAGUGAAUCAUCGAGUCUUUGAACGCACAUUGCGCCCCCUGGUAUUCCGGGGGGCAUGCCUGUCCGAGCGUCAUUGCUGCCCUCAAGCACGGCUUGUGUGUUGGGCCCCGUCCUCCGAUCCCGGGGGACGGGCCCGAAAGGCAGCGGCGGCACCGCGUCCGGUCCUCGAGCGUAUGGGGCUUUGUCACCCGCUCUGUAGGCCCGGCCGGCGCUUGCCGAUCAACCCAAAUUUUUUAUCCAGGUUGACCUCGGAUCAGGUAGGGAUACCCGCUGAACUUAAGCAUAUCAUAAGCGGAGGA
This 345-nucleotide unclassified non-coding RNA is filed under the name soil metagenome. Its description in RNAcentral is "partial contains 5.8S ribosomal RNA, internal transcribed spacer 2, and large subunit ribosomal RNA". The stretch from base 1 to 119 matches the Rfam family "5.8S ribosomal RNA", at positions 35 to 154 of the family's 154-position model. The record is from RNAcentral.